Molecule: ribosomal RNA, 391 nt
Filed under: uncultured bacterium
Lineage: Bacteria
Description: partial 16S ribosomal RNA
Rfam family: Bacterial small subunit ribosomal RNA
Source: RNAcentral
AUACAUAGGGGGCAAGCGUUAUCCGGAAUUAUUGGGCGUAAAGCGUGCGUAGGCGGUUUAUUAAGUCUGAUGUUAAAUCCCACAGCUCAACUGGGGGCUGCCAUUGGAAACUGGUAGACUUGAGUGCGGUAGAGGUAAGUGGAAUUCCAAGUGGAGCGGGGGAAUGCGUAGAUAUUUGGAGGAACACCAGUGGCGAAGGCGGCUUACUGGGCCGUUACUGACGCUGAGGCACGAAAGCGUGGGGAGCAAACAGGAUUAGAUACCCUGGUAGUCCACGCCGUAAACGAUGAGCACUAAGUGUCGGAUGAAUUUUCGGCGCUGCAGUUAACACAAUAAGUGCUCCGCCUGGGGAGUACGGUCGCAAGACUGAAACUCAAAGGAAUUGGCGGGG